This 305-nucleotide ribosomal RNA is filed under the name uncultured bacterium. RNAcentral's name for it is "bacterial SSU rRNA". It matches the Rfam family "Bacterial small subunit ribosomal RNA", at positions 333 to 655 of the family's 1533-position model. The record is from RNAcentral.
GGGCUCCUACGGGGGGCAGCAGUGGGGGAUAUUGCACAAUGGGGGGAACCCUGAUGCAGCGACGCCGCGUGGGCGAUGGAGCGCCUCGGCGCGUAAAGCCCUAUCAGCAGGGAAGAAGAUGACGGUACCUGACUAAGAAGCCCCGGCUAAAUACGUGCCAGCAGCCGCGGUAAUACGUAUGGGGCAAGCGUUAUCCGGAUUUACUGGGUGUAAAGGGCGCGUAGGCGGAUGUGCAAGUCAGUCGUGAAAUACCGGGGCUCAACCCCGGGGCUGCGAUUGAAACUGCACACCUUGAGUAUCGGGGG